GUUCUACUACGGCGUUGGUGACUGCCAAUAAUGUUUUAUGAUCUAUGCUGUUUGAAUAAGGGAACUAUUCGCUGGAUGGCAGUAGACCGGGCUUGUACCCGGAAACUUUAAGUCACAGCUCUUGGUGCCCACCUGGAGUUGCUCCAGGUCAAAAACUGAGGUAAGACGGCGUUGUGGUGAACUC
Oscillatoriales cyanobacterium is the source of this 184-nucleotide non-coding RNA. It matches the Rfam family "6S / SsrS RNA". Rfam says of the family: E. coli 6S RNA was the first non coding RNA to be sequenced, but its function was unknown until recently. It consists of 184 nucleotides that fold into an extended hairpin structure with a large single-stranded internal bulge. The record is from Rfam. Lineage: Bacteria; Bacillati; Cyanobacteriota; Cyanophyceae; Oscillatoriales.